Molecule: ribosomal RNA, 253 nt
Filed under: uncultured bacterium
Lineage: Bacteria
Description: partial 16S ribosomal RNA
Rfam family: Bacterial small subunit ribosomal RNA
Source: RNAcentral
UACGUAGGUGGCAAGCGUUAAUCGGAAUUACUGGGCGUAAAGCGCACGCAGGCGGAUUGUUAAGUCAGAUGUGAAAUCCCCCGGCUCAACCUGGGAACUGCAUCUGAUACUGGCAAGCUUGAGUCUAGUAGAGGGGGGUAGAAUUCCAGGUGUAGCGGUGAAAUGCGUAGAGAUCUGGAGGAAUACCGGUGGCGAAGGCGGCUCCCUGGACGACGACUGACGCUCAGGUGCGAAAGCGUGGGGAGCAAACAGG